This 253-nucleotide ribosomal RNA is filed under the name uncultured bacterium. RNAcentral's name for it is "partial 16S ribosomal RNA". It matches the Rfam family "Bacterial small subunit ribosomal RNA", at positions 524 to 776 of the family's 1533-position model. The record is from RNAcentral.
GACAGAGGAUGCAAGCGUUAUCCGGCAUGAUUGGGCGUAAAGCGUCUGUAGGUGGCUUUUCAAGUCCGCCGUGAAAUCCCAGGGCUCAACCCUGGACAGGCGGUGGAAACUACCAAGCUGGAGUACGGUAGGGGCAGAGGGAAUUUCCGGUGGAGCGGUUAAAUGCGUAGAGAUCGGAAAGAACACCAACGGCGAAAGCUCUCUGCUGGACCGAUACUGACACUCAGAGAAGAAAGCUAGGGGAGCGAAUGGG